Long non-coding RNA from Carassius gibelio (silver crucian carp), 928 nucleotides. RefSeq lists it as uncharacterized. The record is from RefSeq and is a predicted model, not a curated record. The transcript has 2 exons. NCBI's taxonomy places the organism in Eukaryota, Metazoa, Chordata, Actinopteri, Cypriniformes, Cyprinidae.
GAUCAUUAUGAUGAUGCGGUUAUUGAUCUCGUGCCUCACCUGCUGACUCGCCAGUGUUGAUCCAGUCUGGAUUGGCUAUGCUCGCGAUGGCGAAUAUAUCCGCGGCCAGAAACAGACAUCCUGAAAUAAUGGCCGCUGGGAGAACUUCCAGAAGCAAUGGUUCAUGAACCGUGAUUCCCCCACAGACGCUCUUCAGAGGAACGAUGAAGAAUCAGACACCGAGAACUGAUCACAGAUAGACUUGUUUUAAUGAAUGUACAUCAGAUAUACAGUGAAAUGGCUGAAACUGAUGCCUCUGCUCCCAGUGAACCAGACUUCAUGAUCAACUGAAACAACUGUCAACAUUAAUCAGGGAUUCACACACGUUUAAGAGUGUUUUUACACUCAAAUAAGCAGCUGCACAAUGUGUGCAUUUAGACUGGGACUUUCUCUCACAAUUCAUCAACAAAUGGAGUGUUUGCCAGAUGUCCACAACAUGACAUGGUCUUCUUGCUCUCGACAAACUUCUUUGCAGCCUGUGAAGGAAACAACAACAGAUUUCUGUGGUCAAACAUCAUCCAACAGUUACUGUAUCUUUACUGCUUUAACGGCUUCAUCAGCAAGUGGUUGAUUAGUGGUAUUUAGGUAGUGUUGAACAGCAGAGCAUGACGCUAGCAACAUUAAAACAUCAAGUCUGGGGUAACAUCAAAUUAAAGGUGUGUAACCUUGAAUGCAAUGUAAGCUGCUUUGGAUGAAUGCAUAUAUAUUUAAUAUUCGCUGAUGCUCUCUUUUUUACUUAAUCCUCACUGUUUGUGGAGCAGCAAAUCAUCAUAUCAGAAUGAUUUCUGAAGGAUCGUGUGACACUGAAGACUGGAGGAAUGACGCUGAAAAUUCAGCUUUGUUCAUAGAAAUAAAUGACAUUUAAAAAAAAAAUAUUACCGUCCCCAAA